RNAcentral lists this ribosomal RNA (305 nucleotides) under uncultured bacterium. Its description in RNAcentral is "bacterial SSU rRNA". It matches the Rfam family "Bacterial small subunit ribosomal RNA", at positions 334 to 636 of the family's 1533-position model. The record is from RNAcentral.
UAGGCCUACGGGGGGCAGCAGUGAGGAAUAUUGGUCAAUGGGAGGAAUCCUGAACCAGCCAUGCCGCGUGCAGGACGACGGCUCUACGAGUUGUAAACUGCUUUUGUACCGGGGUAAAAUGCCUUACGAGUAGGGUUUUGAAAGUACGGUACGAAUAAGGAUCGGCUAACUACGUGCCAGCAGCCGCGGUAAUACGUAGGUGGCAAGCGUUGUCCGGAUUUACUGGGUGUAAAGGGCGUGCAGCCGGAGAGACAAGUCAGAUGUGAAAUCCACGGGCUCAACCCGUGAACUGCAUUUGAAACUGU